RNAcentral lists this ribosomal RNA (429 nucleotides) under bacterium. RNAcentral's name for it is "partial 16S ribosomal RNA". It matches the Rfam family "Bacterial small subunit ribosomal RNA", at positions 355 to 776 of the family's 1533-position model. The record is from RNAcentral.
UGGGGAAUCUUCCGCAAUGGACGAAAGUCUGACGGAGCAACGCCGCGUGAGUGAUGACGGCCUUCGGGUUGUAAAGCUCUGUUAAUCGGGACGAAUGGUUCUUGUGCGAAUAGUGCAAGGAUUUGACGGUACCGGAAUAGAAAGCCACGGCUAACUACGUGCCAGCAGCCGCGGUAAUACGUAGGUGGCAAGCGUUGUCCGGAAUUAUUGGGCGUAAAGCGCGCGCAGGCGGAUUGGUCAGUCUGUCUUAAAAGUUCGGGGCUUAACCCCGUGAUGGGAUGGAAACGGCCAAUCUAGAGUAUCGGAGAGGAAAGUGGAAUUCCUAGUGUAGCGGUGAAAUGCGUAGAUAUUAGGAAGAACACCAGUGGCGAAGGCGACUUUCUGGACGAAAACUGACGCUGAGGCGCGAAAGCCAGGGGAGCGAACGGG